UCCGUCUAGCCACGAGUUUAUCCGCAUUUGAAUACCAGGCCUACCACAAACAUUUUUUGUAUCCUUGAGAAAUAAGCAGCAAAAAAACUUUGACACCAAUAAAAAACUCUCUUCUGAUCUGAAACAAUUGAAAAUUGCACACAAAACAAAAUCAGAAACCUUGACUUCAACAUGAAUUUAUAUGUUAGACUUAGAUGAAAGGAUUAAGAAUGGAAUUGAUAACACUCUCUAAAUUCUUACCAGCUUGUUCUUGAAAGCAAAAAUGAUUGCUCCUGCAUGUUCAGCUGCAUUGCCAACUAUUGGUAGCAAAAUUAUGCUGAGGAAGCUGACAGUAGUAUAGGAAACACAUGUGGCCUAAUCUUGUACGUGUAAAAAUCCUAACAGGGAUAGUAAAAAUAACUCUAAGAGUAAAUGUUAUAUGAAUACCUUGAACAUGCCAAACACUGCUUCAAUCCAACUUAUUUUAGUAAUUUUCGAUAUUUGUCAGGAUUUAGGAGCCAAAUAAAAUCAACAGCACAUAUAUUUC
RNAcentral lists this long non-coding RNA (526 nucleotides) under Trifolium pratense (red clover). Its description in RNAcentral is "long non-coding RNA (TPRA_LNC006925)". Lineage: Eukaryota; Viridiplantae; Streptophyta; Magnoliopsida; Fabales; Fabaceae. The record is from RNAcentral.